RNAcentral lists this ribosomal RNA (411 nucleotides) under uncultured bacterium. Its description in RNAcentral is "bacterial SSU rRNA". It matches the Rfam family "Bacterial small subunit ribosomal RNA", at positions 505 to 916 of the family's 1533-position model. The record is from RNAcentral.
GUGUCAGCCGCCGCGGUAAAACGUGAGGGGCGAACGUUGUCCGGAAUCACUGGGCGUAAAGGGUACGCAGGCGGUGGAGAAAGUCGGGUGUGAAAGCUUCGGGCUCAACCCGAGGAGGACGCUCGAUACUUCUCCACUUGAGGAAGGGAGAGGGAAGUGGAAUUCCCGGUGUAGCGGUGAAAUGCGCAGAUAUCGGGAGGAACACCAGUGGCGAAGGCGGCUUCCUAUCCCUUUCCUGACGCUCAGGUACGAAAGCUAGGGGAGCGAACCGGAUUAGAUACCCGGGUAGUCCUAGCCGUAAACGAUGGGUGCUAGGUGUUGGGGGGUUACUCCCUCAAUGCCGAAGCUAACGCAUUAAGCACCCCGCCUGGGGAGUACGGCCGCAAGGUUAAAACUCAAAUGAAUUGGCGG